AUGGACAACGCCUCCUCCACCUUUUAUGUGGAAGUGGUCCCCGCAGGCCAGAAGGAGAUGCUGUAUGAAGCUCCGCUGUGGAUCAUCAUUGUGUCUGUGCUGGCUGGUGUCAUCCUGCUAGGACUCAUCAUUCUCCUUCUGUGGAAGAGUGGAUUCUUCAGACGAACUGUUUAUUUCAGAGAAAUGCUGAAACACCGGGGCGUGCGAGUGUGUAAAGAGGAGCGCUACAGCCUCAGCCAGGGUUCCCUCAUUCAGAAGAACACCAAAAAACCCUGGAUCACCAACUUGACUGAGACUCAGCUAUACUACUGACCAGAUCACCGCUAGGUCCAGCUUGGGUCUAAAGGGUUUAUUAGGUCCACUUUUUUUUUUAGGUCUACUGUUUUCACAGUAUCCACUGUGGCCAAGGAUUCCACAGUAACCACUGGGUCUUCUGGGCCAAUUGGGUCCACAGGAUUCACUUUGUCCAUUGGGCCAAAGGGCUAAUUAAGUUGACAAGGUCAAGGCAGCUGACAUGGCAGCUGCUGGGAUUGGUGGAUGCUGUGAACUCGGUGGACACAAGAGAAUUGAUAGAUGCUGUGGAGACGGUAGACAUUGUGGACUUGAUGGAUACUUUGGAUACAGUGGGCACUGUGCUAAAGACAGUCUGGACACUGUGAACACAGACAAGGUAGACAUUGUGGAUGCUUUAGAUGCUGUGGAUUAUGUGGGUGCUGCACUUCCUUAUAAACUCAGCUGGCAUUUAAAAGUAGAAAUAGAAUUUUGUAACUGUUAAAUUAACAGCACUUAAUAAAAACAACAAAUAUUAAAUGGUAUAAUAUAUU
Molecule: long non-coding RNA, 824 nt
Filed under: Astyanax mexicanus (Mexican tetra)
Lineage: Eukaryota; Metazoa; Chordata; Actinopteri; Characiformes; Acestrorhamphidae
Description: lncRNA (ENSAMXG00005001765.1)
Source: RNAcentral